Molecule: non-coding RNA, 200 nt
Filed under: Paenibacillus sp.
Lineage: Bacteria; Bacillati; Bacillota; Bacilli; Caryophanales; Paenibacillaceae
Source: RNAcentral
UUUCAUAGCUGCUUUUAUGGUGCCUGCGCGGGUAUUUCGGCCUGCGGGGCUUAAUAGGGAAGUUCGAUACAAAUUCGACGCGGUCCCGCCACUGUGAAGCCGAGCGGCUGCCCGAGGCAUCCACUGUCCCUGCCGGGAUGGGAAGGAAGGGCGGCGCGAUGAAGCGAAGCCAGGAGACCUGCCAUAAAAAGCUUGUAUCA